Molecule: long non-coding RNA, 3786 nt
Filed under: Equus caballus (horse)
Lineage: Eukaryota; Metazoa; Chordata; Mammalia; Perissodactyla; Equidae
Description: lncRNA (ENSECAG00000036657.3)
Source: RNAcentral
AAACUAUUUAGGGGGUUGUUACAGUAGUCCAGGCAAGAGAUGGUGAGGCCAGGUGGCUGGAAUGGAAGAAGUUGGUUUGGAGUGACAGAUAUGGGAGCAAUCCAAACGACAAUGAAACCCCAGGAGCUGGUGAGAGUGCCAGGAGAACGGGCCCACAAAAGGAAGAGAGAGAAUGGAGGGCACAGCUCUUGAGGCCUCCAGAACUCCACGUCAGCAAGACAGCAAGGGCCCCCCGGAGGAAACGGGCUUCGAGAUGACAGGUCACACGGUGCAGCGAGGAGCGCGUGAGAGAGAGGGCCAGGGGAUGGCCGCGCGCUUCUGGAGAGGCCAGACAGAAGAGUGGGAAAAGUGCGCGUAAACUUGGCAAAUCCAAGCCCGUUAAUGACCCUCUAGGGCGUGGUUUGAGCAGAAAUAAUAGUGAUGCUCCAAAUAAAAGACUACAGUUGAUCUGCAAGUGUCACCAUCAUCACCACUGUCAUUGCAUUCUCUAGCUUUAACCUCCUUCUUCAAUCUGAGUUAAAGACUAAGACGUGGAAUAUAAGAAAGCAUGAAGAAGCUUCCAGAAUGGGAUAACUUCUGUGAAAAGCAGGAUCCUGUUGGAAUGGUCACCAACACAUCUGAAGGUAGAGAUUCAGAGGACAGCCCUCCAAAUAAAGAGUCUUGUGCUUGUUUAAUGAAACAUCAAAGAAGCACCUGGAGAGACCACAGGAUCAUGAAAACGCACGUGAGCAGUGUUCCUGCUGGCUCAGAAGGUGUGUGAUGGCACCAGACAGACUCUGACUCCCUGCCACCAGAAACAGAGUAAAUUCAUCUCUACCCUGCGCACGGAGAAGCUGUUCCUCCUCGUAGGAGUUCACAGUGAGCCUCCGAGCAGUGGGGAUAGCACCCCGUGGCAAUCAGUGUCGACGGGUCUGGAGCAGGCCUUACACCGCUGAGAUGGCUUCUCUUCCUUUCGUCUCUAAACUGCUUCUCCCCCCAGAUUUCUUUUUGCUCUUAUCCUUUGGCAAAAAGUGUGCAUCUACCCUUCGUAGCAAACUGAGCAGAUUCCACUGUAUGUUCUUCAGGGGCAUAAUUCCAGGACUCUUUUCAGAAUUAGGACUCAGAGCUCCACAUUCUCCAGAAGCGAUAAAGGCCAUGUCACUUAAUCCCUUUGCUGGGUCUUGACCAGCCUUGGGAGGGCAGCUUCAAAGACCGAAGUGGUGCAGAGCCCUGGCCCGACUGGAUCCCGUCCCCUUAUGUUUCCAUGCUUCCCCGCUUUUGAUGAUGCUACUGCGCUGGGAGCAGGAACUGAAGGCGGGUGCUCUGACACUCAGAGACACAUCUCUCAACACAAGAAGUAGGAGAAAGGGUUCAAUCGUCUUAGCAGGAACUGGAGAUGUGUGCACAAGAUGCACUGCUCAGCGUGUCUGGGAGCCCCAGAGCUGCCGCAAGAGGAUAGGCAGCCCACGGAUGGAGAAAUGGUAUGUGCCAGGUCCCACGGACAGCUUUACAGGAACUCUCUCAUUUAAUCCUCACAGGACCCCAUGAGUAAGGUACUACGGCUAUUAUCUCACUUUACAGAAAGGCAAACUGAAUGCAGGGAUAUUAAGUAACUUGACGAAGAUUAUACAGGGUUGGGAUUCACACUCCAGCAUGCACUGGGACCAUACUCCUAACGACUGUGCAAUCUGGCCUCCUUAGCAACUGGGAAAGUGGGCACAGCAAUGUGUUGGAGAUGAGCUUGGGUGACAGUCACCUCUGCCCUGUCCUAGGCCCAACACACAUCAGGGUUGCUGCCAGUGCACUUCCUGCUUCAGCACAGCGGGUGGAAAUGUGGGUGUUCCAGCGUGUUCGUGGGGAAGAAGAGAGAGGGUUGGUGAGGGAUGGAACACGGACUGGUGAGGUGUGCCUGUAGCACACAGACAGGCGUCCACGCACACCCACUCACCUGUCUGCGGGAAGUCCCAGGAAAGUCGGCAGGAUGGUCCUGCCUCUCCUUACACACCUCUUUCCUGUUUACCGAGUUCACGCUGCCCGAUUCCUUGGUUAACACGCUCUUACUGUCCCCUUGCCAGACUCAUCCACCUUACCCCCUCAGUCCUGACCACCCAGUUAGAACAUAUUCCUUACUAUUAUCUGCAUAUCCAGAUUUCCACUUGUAACUUGGAGCUUCAGUUCUCCUCGUUCUUUGAAAGCCGCAGACACGGAGGCUUGCUGUUUACUUAUCGCAACCUUAUGCUCAGAAUCCUGGCUGAAAUGGAAAGGACUGAAAUUAAGACACAGUAGGAAAAAAACUUAAUGCUGAAUAAAAGUAGCACUCCUUGAAAAAAAAUUUCAUGAGCUUUAGUGUCAUUCUGGCUUCGAGAAACUUCUUCCCAUGAAACUCGUAUAUUUUCUGAGCUUAACACUUCAGUCAUUAUGAUCGCUUUACGUUUCUACCUCUUCCAACUGGGUUUUUGCAACUCGGAGAUCAAGUUUGUUGCGUAACAACAUUAACAGCUAAUAAAUUAGGCUCCUCCUUGCCAUUUUCCUGAGCAGGGCUGGCGGAAUCAAGCCCUCACGGAAUUUGAGGGGAAUUUAUCCUGAGACAUAUCCUCUACUUGGGCCGUGAGGUCAGGAUUCCACGCCAGAGCUGUGCUACUCCUAAUGAGGGGAGGGUCUGAGAUUCACCAUGGUGUGGAUCCAUGAGCUCUUCUCUGAAACCCUUGGAACCAACGUGGGUCAGAAUUUUGUAGAUUUCAGAGAACAAAUGUGUAUAUACUGUAUAUUAUACAACAUUUCCCAUUGGGGUCUGGAGCGGCACCCUCUAGUCAAACACAUUAAUAUUUCUGUAGCUAAAUAUAGGCAUAUUCACACUAAGUGGGGUAAAUGUAAAAUAUAAAUAGUCUGCCAUCAGUUCAGGCUAGCUUUGGCUAUCAAAUGACUUUACAUCAGACCAGUCUUUUUUGCCAAAUGAGUUACCAAAACGCUUUUGGUUUUCAUCUUUUUGGAUUGGAGAUUUUAAGGAGAAGAGACCGUGGGCCUGUAAAUGCAAGUAGCUGCCAUUUAUGGAGCAUUCGUCUGCUCUUUGAAUUCCCGCGAGAACCAGCGCCCACGCACGGUGCAACAGAAGUGAGAGGGACUCUUCUGCAAAGCUGUGCUUUUGAAAUCGCUCUUUCAGCAGUCAUUCCAUAUUGCCGUGCUGGGUCUGGAGAGGCAGAACCAUAUUAGAAUUCCACGAAAAACCUUUCGGAUAGAAUUCAGGAGUAGCGGUGGAGUUUGGUUGGACAAAUGACUUUCCUGUCCUCUGCGUCCUCAUCCAUGCCUAGAGGGGAAUGAUGGCCUAAUGCUGGCAGAGGAUUCCAUAGUUUCUUAACUCAUCCUGCUAACACAGUCUAGCACCUUCCAAGGAGUACAGGAUGUGGAGAUAUUUAACAACUAUUGUACUUGUUCUCAGAUUUGGGGGCCUCAGCUGAAACUCUGAAUCAACAGGAAAAGUCACAUCUUAACAUAGUAUUAUGUAUAUGUCAUAGGCUCUUACUAGUAGUUCUUCGGUGUAUUAUGAUUUAAAUCAUGUUCCUUGACAAAAUAAAUUUGGAAAACACUGCUCUAUUGUUUUGCUUUUAAGUAUGAUGUAAGCUAUUGGUUUGGGAUAACUUUUUAAUCUUGUUAAGGGAGUAUUCUAUAUGCAAUUUAUUUAACUUUUUAUCAGAAAUGGAUAUUAAAUUUUGUUAAAUGCCUUUGACAUUUGUCAAGAUGAACAUAAAGUUUGUCUCUUUUGACCCAUUGAUGUGAUCAAUGAUAUUUUUAGAUUUCCCAAUAUUGAAU